GAACGCACCUUGCGCUCCUUGGUAUUCCGAGGAGCAUGCCUGUUUGAGUGUCAUUAAAUUCUCAACCUUUAUUAACUUUUUGGUUAGUAAGUGGAUUGGAAGUGGGGGCAUGUUGGUUUCUUCAUUGAAAUAAACUCCCCUGAAAUGCAUUAGCUGGUUGCCUUGUGCGAACAUGUCUAUUGGUGUGAUAAUUAUCUACGCCGUGGGCUAUUUGCCGUUUAUAGCACUGCUUAUAAUCGUCUGUUCAUUCAGACAAUAUAUGACAAUUUGACCUCAAAUCAGGUAGGACUACCCGCUGAACUUAAG
RNAcentral lists this unclassified non-coding RNA (306 nucleotides) under Hypholoma fasciculare. Its description in RNAcentral is "sequence contains 5.8S rRNA gene". The stretch from base 1 to 53 matches the Rfam family "5.8S ribosomal RNA", at positions 102 to 154 of the family's 154-position model. Lineage: Eukaryota; Fungi; Basidiomycota; Agaricomycetes; Agaricales; Strophariaceae. The record is from RNAcentral.